Molecule: ribosomal RNA, 407 nt
Filed under: uncultured bacterium
Lineage: Bacteria
Description: partial 16S ribosomal RNA
Rfam family: Bacterial small subunit ribosomal RNA
Source: RNAcentral
AUUGAACGCUGGCGGCAGGCCUAACACAUGCAAGUCGAGCGGAGCGGCGGACGGGGGCGUAAUGCCUAGGAAUCUGCCUGGUCGUGGGGGAUAACGUCCGGAAACGGGCGCUAAUACCGCUUACUAUCAGAUCAGCUUAGGUCGGAUUAGCUUGUUGGUGGGGUAAUGGCAUACCAAGGCGACGAUCCGUAACUGGUUUGAGAGGAGGAUCAGUCACACUGGAACUGAGACACGGUCCAGACUCCGACGGGAGGCAGCAGUGGGGAAUAUUGGACAAUGGGCGAAAGCCUGAUGCAGCCAUGCCGCGUGUAGGAAGAAGGUCUUCGGAUUGUAAAGCACUUUAAGUUGGGAGGCGUUACCAACAGAAUAAGCACCGGCUAACUUCGUGCCAGCAGCCGCGGUAAUAC